RNAcentral lists this ribosomal RNA (500 nucleotides) under uncultured bacterium. RNAcentral describes it as "bacterial SSU rRNA". It matches the Rfam family "Bacterial small subunit ribosomal RNA", at positions 8 to 507 of the family's 1533-position model. The record is from RNAcentral.
AGAGUUUGAUCAUGGCUCAGAAUAAACGCUGGCGGCGUGCCUAACACAUGCAAGUCGAGCGAGAAAGGUCUUCGGACUGAGUAAAGCGGCGGACGGGUGAGUAACGCGUGGGAAUCUGCCCUUCAGUGAGGAAUACCUCCGAGAAAUCGGGGUUAAUACUGCAUACGUUCCGAAAGGAAGAAAGGUGGCCUCUUUGCUACCGCUGAAGGAUGAGCCUGCGUACUAUUAGCUAGUUGGUGAGGUAAUGGCUCACCAAGGCAGAGAUGGUUAGCCCGGCCUGAGAGGGUGUACGGCCACAUUGGAACUGAGACACGGUCCAGACUCCUACGGGAGGCAGCAGUGAGGAAUAUUGCGCAAUGGACGAAAGUCUGACGCAGCGACGCCGCGUGGAGGAUGAAGGUCUUCGGAUUGUAAACUUCUGUUAAGUGGGAAGAAAUGUGUGGCCCUAAUAUGGUCGCAAGAUGACGGUACCACUAGAGAAAGCACUGGCUAAUCUCGUG